AUCGCUUCUCGGCCUUUUGGCAAAAAUCAAGUGCAGUAUCUGUUCUUAUCAGUUUAAUAUCUAAAAAGAAAAGGGGUGUGGGUGUGUGCAUAAGGUUUAUAUUUAUUAUAUUUAUAUUUAUAUUUUAUAAGGCCUCCUGCAUUCCAAGUGUUUUCUGUGUGUUGACUCUUUAAUGCACACAGGUU
This is a small nuclear RNA of Polypterus senegalus (gray bichir), 185 nucleotides long. RefSeq annotates it as U2 spliceosomal RNA. The transcript has a single exon. The record is from RefSeq and is a predicted model, not a curated record. NCBI's taxonomy places the organism in Eukaryota, Metazoa, Chordata, Cladistia, Polypteriformes, Polypteridae.